GGACGGAUUUAAAAAUGAAGAUCCUGCGCAGGGCUGAU
This 38-nucleotide small nucleolar RNA is filed under the name Saccharolobus islandicus HVE10/4. RNAcentral describes it as "Sulfolobus islandicus HVE10/4 non-coding RNA". RNAcentral also lists the same sequence under 1 other name. Lineage: Archaea; Thermoproteati; Thermoproteota; Thermoprotei; Sulfolobales; Sulfolobaceae. The record is from RNAcentral.